Molecule: ribosomal RNA, 253 nt
Filed under: uncultured bacterium
Lineage: Bacteria
Description: partial 16S ribosomal RNA
Rfam family: Bacterial small subunit ribosomal RNA
Source: RNAcentral
UACGGAGGUCUCAAGCGUUGUUCGGAUUCAUUGGGCGUAAAGGGUGCGUAGGCGGCGCGGUAAGUCGGGUGUGAAAUCUCGGAGCUUAACUCCGAAACUGCAUUCGAUACUGCCGUGCUUGAGGACUGGAGAGGAGACUGGAAUUUACGGUGUAGCGGUGAAAUGCGUAGAUAUCGUAAGGAAGACCAGUGGCGAAGGCGGCUCACUGGCCCGAUACUGACGCUGAGGCACGAAAGCGUGGGGAGCAAACGGG